CCAGCGUCUCCCGGUCCCUCGAAGGCGCGUCAGCGCUCCCCCGCGUCCGGCCGGGAAGCCUCCCGAGCCCCCGCGUCUUGUCCCCGCGCUCCGGUGCGGGAGCCGCGCCAGGCGGGUGCUGAGGGGCCGCGCCGGUGCUGCUGGCGCUCCUCCGUCUGCCUGCUGCGGCCAGAGAAAAAGAAUGUCAGGGUGCGUUUUGCUGGUGGAUAACGCGUAUUUUAGCCUUCGCAGAAAAUGUAGUCAUGCCACUGAUGUUGGUUUUCUGCGGAACAGACUCAGUCCGGUCGAGGUGCUUUUUUUCCCUGCAUGAUUAUUUCCCCACCUGUUGCUCCUGUGUUGUCUAGUCAUAUGGAUCCCAUCCCGUUAAUCAUCUUUUACCUCUCUCUGGAUCCCUAGGUAGAAGUUUAUCUCAAAAUUUCUACCUGUUCACAAGCAAUUAGAAGGAAGUGUUUCAGAGGAGAUGUGACAAGUCCCCAGUUGUCUUUCUAGUCCCCAGUUCUUCAUGUUUUCCCAGUAGCAUCCAGGUAUACUGCUUAUUUCUCUGCCAUAGUUUAGAGAGUAUGUUACUUCGUAGAUUUGUGUGGAAUAAUUUGUCUUCACCUGGAAGCAAUUCACUGGAAUGCUACAAGACCCAUGGUUUCCUUUCACUGCUGGUUUUAGUGUUUGGUACCUGGGGUUUACUUUUUACACUUCUUCAGACCUUCAUUUUCUCCACAGUUAGUUCACAUAUCAUCACAGUACUUUCCUGUUACUGUUGCUCAGUUUGUCUACUCUAUUUUUUUUUAAUAUGUCAGCUCACCCCAGUCUAUGCAUGUUAGCCCCAAACUCCUUUAAUGCUUAAACCUGGAGGUCUGUUUUAAUUACUGAGUACAAUGACCAAAGAAACAUGUAACUCACCACACAACCAGCUCCUCAGUAGCCAGCCCUGUGGAACACUUUUGUGUUGCAGCAAGUUUACAGAGAGCAAUUCUGAGUAUCUGCAGCAGUGCUAAGGUGAGAAGCAUCAGCUGUCUCCUGAGAGAGAGCUGGCAGCUGGUAGAAACACCCUGACCUGGCCUGGUCAUCAUCACUCACCGCUGACCAGCAGGCCUGAGGGGAUCCUCAAACCCUGCAUGAGGACCUGUUAGUGCUCCUAGAACCACCACAGCUCUCUUUCCAUCGGUCAGUAUCUGCCUCUGCGACUGAUGCACCGUCAGCGUCUGCCUUUCACACAGGUCUGGUUCUCUUCUGCUAGACACAGAGCUAGCCAUGGCAGCUGGCCCACAGCCACCAUGCUGCUGUCCGCCCGCCGCCCAACUUACAGCAAGGACUAAAACCCCGACAGGAGAUACAUGUGGAUCACUUUGACCUUGGCUUUAGAUUUCAUCCCAAAUUCUGACUGCUGCAGAUCAAGAUAUUUAAGAUUUACUCUCAUUGGAGAAUGUGGAGUGACAAACGGAUGCCUUGCACAAGUGCAAAGCUGGUUCAGGAAUGGGAUUUUCCUACUCCAAGCGGUCCUGCUGACUGUUCCUGUCAGGCUGUGGCUGUUACAGCCAGGGCAGGACAAAGGGACAACUUUGAGCUGGGCAUCUCUCUUACUUCCUGGGGUCUGGUGGACGUGGCAGCUGUCCUGCUUCCUCGUGCUCCUCUCAGUGCUUUUGGCCUGAUUUAUCCCUACUUGAACCUGUGAUCUCAUCUACUGCAUGUGUCUGCAAAGCAGGACUGACGACUUCCAAGGCUCUCUGAGGUGUAAUUGUGGAAGCACAAAAUGUUUGGGAAUGGAAGUGACCUCUGGACAUCAUCUAUACCUACCCCCCUGCUAAGUCAGAUUCACCUAGAACAGGUUGCACAGGAUCACAUCCAGGUGGGUUUGAAGUGUCUCCAGAGAAGGAGCUUCUGCAACCUCUGCCUUGUAAUCUUCUUGCCGGUCUAUGAUUGCAGGGCAGAUAAUGCCUACAAAGGUCAAUCGUUUGUUUAACAAGAGCUAAGAGAAAAGUGCAAUAAAGAAGGAAAGUAAUUUCUAAAUAUUAGCAUGUUUGCUAGAAUAUCACUCUAGAUGAGCUUGGUAAUGUGAAGCAGAAUGUGUUACGGCAAUUGAUGGGGAAGAUUUGUUUGAUUUGUUAGUGCAGUAAAAGUUGCCCUAUAGUUAGAAAUAAUCAAAUAAGACACUUUUAUUCCUUCUUGUUUGGCUAUUGUUAUUCAGAGUUCUCUCUCUCCCUUGUCCUUACAUGUUCCAUUACCAUAGUUAUUACAGGAUCUUUGGUUGCUAAUGGAGUAAUGAAGAAAGAGGCAUCUAAACUUCAAUAUUUAUCACAUAUUGACUUCUUUAUUGCAUUAAUAGCAGGGCAGAAUUACCAGAUGUAAGUGUAAUUAAAGCUUUAAGGCUGCCAUUUUAUUUUAAACUUAUAAAGGUUGUAGUGGAAUGUAAGGAAAUUUUCAAAAGUUCAAAAUAACUCACAUUAAAGGCCAACUGUUUAAUUGAGUGUUGUGAGAAAGAAGUAUUGUGAGUAAGGAGAGUGAGGCUACUUUAUUUAACUGUUUGCUCUUCUCCUGUUAAAGUGUCCUCCAGAAAUAAUUUUAAAAUGCAAUUCUGUAUGUAUGAUUGACUAAAACAGUGAUAAAGCCAACCUAGAUAAUUGCUUGUUAUCUGCUCAGGUGUUUUCUCUUUUGCUAGCAAAUGAUUCAUUUGAUGAAGAAACUUUAACCCUGAUGUGAAGCAGUAUGCCUGGCUAGUUGUGAUAUUAUGUUUAUACAGAUUCCUGAAAGCUAUGGCUGUCCCUAAUUAAUUCUGUGAUGGUAGCCUGACUUAUUUUACUUAAGUUUUGCACUUCAUUAAUAAAUGUACUGUACAGGAA
Zonotrichia albicollis (white-throated sparrow) is the source of this 2834-nucleotide non-coding RNA. Lineage: Eukaryota; Metazoa; Chordata; Aves; Passeriformes; Passerellidae. The record is from RefSeq and is a predicted model, not a curated record.